GGUUAAGCGACUAAGCGUACACGGUGGAUGCCCUGGCAGUCAGAGGCGAUGAAGGACGUGCUAAUCUGCGAUAAGCGUCGGUAAGGUGAUAUGAACCGUUAUAACCGGCGAUUUCCGAAUGGGGAAACCCAGUGUGAUUCGUCACACUAUCAUUAACUGAAUCCAUAGGUUAAUGAGGCGAACCGGGGGAACUGAAACAUCUAAGUACCCCGAGGAAAAGAAAUCAACCGAGAUUCCCCCAGUAGCGGCGAGCGAACGGGGAGGAGCCCAGAGCCUGAAUCAGUGUGUGUGUUAGUGGAAGCGUCUGGAAAGGCGCGCGAUACAGGGUGACAGCCCCGUACACAAAAAUGCACAUACUGUGAGCUCGAUGAGUAGGGCGGGACACGUGGUAUCCUGUCUGAAUAUGGGGGGACCAUCCUCCAAGGCUAAAUACUCCUGACUGACCGAUAGUGAACCAGUACCGUGAGGGAAAGGCGAAAAGAACCCCGGCGAGGGGAGUGAAAAAGAACCUGAAACCGUGUACGUACAAGCAGUGGGAGCCUCUUUUAUGGGGUGACUGCGUACCUUUUGUAUAAUGGGUCAGCGACUUAUAUUCUGUAGCAAGGUUAACCGAAUAGGGGAGCCGAAGGGAAACCGAGUCUUAACUGGGCGUUAAGUUGCAGGGUAUAGACCCGAAACCCGGUGAUCUAGCCAUGGGCAGGUUGAAGGUUGGGUAACACUAACUGGAGGACCGAACCGACUAAUGUUGAAAAAUUAGCGGAUGACUUGUGGCUGGGGGUGAAAGGCCAAUCAAACCGGGAGAUAGCUGGUUCUCCCCGAAAGCUAUUUAGGUAGCGCCUCGUGAAUUCAUCUCCGGGGGUAGAGCACUGUUUCGGCAAGGGGGUCAUCCCGACUUACCAACCCGAUGCAAACUGCGAAUACCGGAGAAUGUUAUCACGGGAGACACACGGCGGGUGCUAACGUCCGUCGUGAAGAGGGAAACAACCCAGACCGCCAGCUAAGGUCCCAAAGUCAUGGUUAAGUGGGAAACGAUGUGGGAAGGCCCAGACAGCCAGGAUGUUGGCUUAGAAGCAGCCAUCAUUUAAAGAAAGCGUAAUAGCUCACUGGUCGAGUCGGCCUGCGCGGAAGAUGUAACGGGGCUAAACCAUGCACCGAAGCUGCGGCAGCGACACUAUGUGUUGUUGGGUAGGGGAGCGUUCUGUAAGCCUGCGAAGGUGUACUGUGAGGUAUGCUGGAGGUAUCAGAAGUGCGAAUGCUGACAUAAGUAACGAUAAAGCGGGUGAAAAGCCCGCUCGCCGGAAGACCAAGGGUUCCUGUCCAACGUUAAUCGGGGCAGGGUGAGUCGACCCCUAAGGCGAGGCCGAAAGGCGUAGUCGAUGGGAAACAGGUUAAUAUUCCUGUACUUGGUGUUACUGCGAAGGGGGGACGGAGAAGGCUAUGUUGGCCGGGCGACGGUUGUCCCGGUUUAAGCGUGUAGGCUGGUUUUCCAGGCAAAUCCGGAAAAUCAAGGCUGAGGCGUGAUGACGAGGCACUACGGUGCUGAAGCAACAAAUGCCCUGCUUCCAGGAAAAGCCUCUAAGCAUCAGGUAACAUCAAAUCGUACCCCAAACCGACACAGGUGGUCAGGUAGAGAAUACCAAGGCGCUUGAGAGAACUCGGGUGAAGGAACUAGGCAAAAUGGUGCCGUAACUUCGGGAGAAGGCACGCUGAUAUGUAGGUGAAGCGACUUGCUCGUGGAGCUGAAAUCAGUCGAAGAUACCAGCUGGCUGCAACUGUUUAUUAAAAACACAGCACUGUGCAAACACGAAAGUGGACGUAUACGGUGUGACGCCUGCCCGGUGCCGGAAGGUUAAUUGAUGGGGUUAGCGGUAACGCGAAGCUCUUGAUCGAAGCCCCGGUAAACGGCGGCCGUAACUAUAACGGUCCUAAGGUAGCGAAAUUCCUUGUCGGGUAAGUUCCGACCUGCACGAAUGGCGUAAUGAUGGCCAGGCUGUCUCCACCCGAGACUCAGUGAAAUUGAACUCGCUGUGAAGAUGCAGUGUACCCGCGGCAAGACGGAAAGACCCCGUGAACCUUUACUAUAGCUUGACACUGAACAUUGAGCCUUGAUGUGUAGGAUAGGUGGGAGGCUUUGAAGUGUGGACGCCAGUCUGCAUGGAGCCGGCCUUGAAAUACCACCCUUUAAUGUUUGAUGUUCUAACGUUGGCCCCUGACCGGGGUUGCGGACAGUGUCUGGUGGGUAGUUUGACUGGGGCGGUCUCCUCCUAAAGAGUAACGGAGGAGCACGAAGGUUGGCUAAUCCUGGUCGGACAUCAGGAGGUUAGUGCAAUGGCAUAAGCCAGCUUGACUGCGAGCGUGACGGCGCGAGCAGGUGCGAAAGCAGGUCAUAGUGAUCCGGUGGUUCUGAAUGGAAGGGCCAUCGCUCAACGGAUAAAAGGUACUCCGGGGAUAACAGGCUGAUACCGCCCAAGAGUUCAUAUCGACGGCGGUGUUUGGCACCUCGAUGUCGGCUCAUCACAUCCUGGGGCUGAAGUAGGUCCCAAGGGUAUGGCUGUUCGCCAUUUAAAGUGGUACGCGAGCUGGGUUUAGAACGUCGUGAGACAGUUCGGUCCCUAUCUGCCGUGGGCGCUGGAGAACUGAGGGGGGCUGCUCCUAGUACGAGAGGACCGGAGUGGACGCAUCACUGGUGUUCGGGUUGUCAUGCCAAUGGCACUGCCCGGUAGCUAAAUGCGGAAGAGAUAAGUGCUGAAAGCAUCUAAGCACGAAACUUGCCCCGAGAUGAGUUCUCCCUGACUCCUUGAGAGUCCUGAAGGAACGUUGAAGACGACGACGUUGAUAGGCCGGGUGUGUAAGCGCAGCGAUGCGUUGAGCUAACCGGUACUAAUGAACCGUGAGGCUUAACCUU
Molecule: ribosomal RNA, 2905 nt
Filed under: Escherichia coli
Lineage: Bacteria; Pseudomonadati; Pseudomonadota; Gammaproteobacteria; Enterobacterales; Enterobacteriaceae
Also listed under: 2 other names
Description: 23S ribosomal RNA
Rfam family: Bacterial large subunit ribosomal RNA
Source: RNAcentral